CCAAUAGCGUAUAUUAAAGUUGUUGCAGUUAAAAAGCUCGUAGUUGAACUUCGGGGUUUACCCAUUGGUCAGGCUUAAUUGUCUGCACUGGUGAGAUGAAUCUCUACCUUCUGAGGAACUUUCAUGUCAUUAAUUUGGUGUGAUUGGAAAUCAGGACUGUUACUUUGAAAAAAUUAGAGUGUUUAAAGCAGGCUAACGUCUGAAUACAUUAGCAUGGAAUAAUGAAAUAGGACGGACUGAUUCUAUUUCGUUGGUUUCUAGGAUCACCGUAAUGAUUAAUAGGGAUAGUUGGGGGCAUUAGUAUUCAAUUGUCAGAGGUGAAAUUCUUGGAUUUAUUGAAGACUAACUACUGCGAAAGCAUUUGCCAAGGAUGUUUUCAUUAAUCAAGAACGAAAGUUAGGGGAUCGAAGACGAUCAGAUACCGUCGUAGUCUUAACCAUAAACUAUGCCGACUAGGGAUCGGACGAAGUUAAUUUUAUAAUGACGCGUUCGGCACCUUACG
This 502-nucleotide unclassified non-coding RNA is filed under the name uncultured Diversispora. RNAcentral's name for it is "SSU rRNA". It matches the Rfam family "Eukaryotic small subunit ribosomal RNA", at positions 591 to 1092 of the family's 1831-position model. Lineage: Eukaryota; Fungi; Glomeromycota; Glomeromycetes; Diversisporales; Diversisporaceae. The record is from RNAcentral.